Molecule: ribosomal RNA, 478 nt
Filed under: uncultured Bacillota bacterium
Lineage: Bacteria; Bacillati; Bacillota
Description: bacterial SSU rRNA
Rfam family: Bacterial small subunit ribosomal RNA
Source: RNAcentral
GACGAACGCUGGCGGCGUGCCUAAUACAUGCAAGUCGAGCGGGGAUGCAGCUGGAAGCCCUUCGGGGUGGAAGGCGGCAUCCUAGCGGCGGACGGGUGAGUAACGCGUGGGGAACCUACCCUCAACCCCGGGAUAACCUGGGGAAACCCGGGCUAAUACCGGAUGAGGCCAACGGGCCGCAUGGCUGGUUGGUCAAAGGGUUUACCGGUUGAGGAUGGCCCUGCGUCCCAUCAGCUAGUUGGUAGGGUAACGGCCUACCAAGGCGACGACGGGUAGCCGGCCUGAGAGGGUGACCGGCCACACUGGCACUGAGACACGGGCCAGACUCCUACGGGAGGCAGCAGUAGGGAAUCUUGCGCAAUGGGCGAAAGCCUGACGCAGCGACGCCGCGUGAGGGAAGAAGGCCUUUGGGUCGUAAACCUCUGUCGGAGGGGACGAAGGACUGACGGUACCCUCCAAGGAAGCCCCGGCUAACUAC